CUAGCGACUUCAGAGUUUGAUCCUGGCUCAGGACGAACGCUGGCGGCGUGCUUAACACAUGCAAGUCGAACGGAGUUAAGGAGCUUGCUUCUUAACUUAGUGGCGAACGGGUGAGUAACGCGUGAGGAACCUGCCUUUCAGUGGGGGACAACAGUUGGAAACGACUGCUAAUACCGCAUAAUACUACCGGGUGGCAUCACCUGGUAGUCAAAGAUUUAUUGCUGAAAGAUGGCCUCGCGUCUGAUUAGCUAGUUGGUGGGGUAACGGCCCACCAAGGCGACGAUCAGUAGCCGGACUGAGAGGUUGACCGGCCACAUUGGGACUGAGAUACGGCCCAG
Molecule: ribosomal RNA, 338 nt
Filed under: uncultured bacterium
Lineage: Bacteria
Description: bacterial SSU rRNA
Rfam family: Bacterial small subunit ribosomal RNA
Source: RNAcentral